AGGAUUCUUUGUCCAGGAAGUUCCAGCAUUCAUGUCAUGGGUUCGUUAUAUCUCGAUUAACUAUCACACAUACAGACUUCUCUUAAAGAUUCAGUUCAAAUCCUUGAGAAAUUCAAAGUAUGGCUCUGUUGAUGACUCUAGUGGAGUUGAAUUAGGAGCAAUGUUGGUGAUGGUUAUUGGAUAUAGGGUGUUAGCCUACUUCCUCCUAAGAAAAAUGAAACUAAGAACAAGCAAAUAAUUGAUAAGUAUCAUUUUUAUAGUUUUAAGAUCCAAUUUCUACCAAUAAGUUGUAACUACAACAUUCUAUAUGUACUAUGUUCUUACUUUGUUUCAUUUAUUUCCUUCCUAUUAGUUCUUUGAUGUGGAGAUGGAAAUUUCG
This 379-nucleotide unclassified non-coding RNA is filed under the name Hevea brasiliensis (rubber tree). Lineage: Eukaryota; Viridiplantae; Streptophyta; Magnoliopsida; Malpighiales; Euphorbiaceae. The record is from RNAcentral.